GGAUAAAAGGUACUCCGGGGAUAACAGGCUGAUACCGCCCAAGAGUUCAUAUCGACGGCGGUGUUUGGCACCUCGAUGUCGGCUCAUCACAUCCUGGGGCUGAAGUAGGUCCCAAGGGUAUGGCUGUUCGCCAUUUAAAGUGGUACGCGAGCUGGGUUUAGAACGUCGUGAGACAGUUCGGUCCCUAUCUGCCGUGGGCGCUGGAGAAUUGAGGGGGGCUGCUCCUAGUACGAGAGGACCGGAGUGGACGCAUCACUGGUGUUCGGGUUGUCAUGCCAAUGGCACUGCCCGGUAGCUAAAUGCGGAAGAGAUAAGUGCUGAAA
This 323-nucleotide ribosomal RNA is filed under the name Klebsiella pneumoniae. RNAcentral's name for it is "partial 23S ribosomal RNA". It matches the Rfam family "Bacterial large subunit ribosomal RNA", at positions 2454 to 2776 of the family's 2925-position model. Lineage: Bacteria; Pseudomonadati; Pseudomonadota; Gammaproteobacteria; Enterobacterales; Enterobacteriaceae. The record is from RNAcentral.